This 253-nucleotide ribosomal RNA is filed under the name uncultured bacterium. Its description in RNAcentral is "partial 16S ribosomal RNA". It matches the Rfam family "Bacterial small subunit ribosomal RNA", at positions 524 to 776 of the family's 1533-position model. The record is from RNAcentral.
UACGUAGGGUGCGAGCGUUGUCCGGAAUUAUUGGGCGUAAAGGGCUCGUAGGCGGUCUGUCGCGUCGGGAGUGAAAACUCAGGGCUUAACCCUGAGCCUGCUUCCGAUACGGGCAGACUAGAGGUAUGCAGGGGAGAAUGGAAUUCCUGGUGUAGCGGUGAAAUGCGCAGAUAUCAGGAGGAACACCAGUGGCGAAGGCGGUUCUCUGGGCAUUACCUGACGCUGAGGAGCGAAAGUGUGGGGAGCGAACAGG